AGGUUCAUCUGUGAUAUGUUUUCAUGGUGUGGGAAUAAGACUUGGUGGCCUAAUACAGCUAAUACAAAGGUUAGCAUCACAGCUUGUCUGUAAGGAUUGAAGCUGGGAAUGGGCAUUGGAGCUGACUUUUAUGGUAACUGUGGCUGCAUAAAAUGGCUAUGUGAUUUCACUGUAACAGUAAAGAAUGUAAUUCAGACUAUUUUUGUGUAUGUUCGAGAAAAUGUUUACAAUUUUUACAAAAAAAAAAAAAUUAUGUACAGGUUCUCCAUUUUCAAUAAGAUUGGAAGUUGUAGGUUAGCUUGUCUUGGAAAUUGUAAAAAUUACUUUCUAUUUUCUGUUCAUACUCAUGUCUAGGAAAAACACUUUCAUUAGUUUAAAAAUGGAGAAUCUUAAAAAAGGAAAAAAAAAAAAAAAAAAAAAAAGAGAAAAGAAAAAAAAAAUGUUCAAUUGUUGAAAUGUAUUUUUUUUUUUUGCAAAGUGAUAUAUAUAUUUUUUCCAUCUUUUUGUUAUUUUUAGCUGACUUUGUAACAAAGGGUAUAUUUUUUUAAGAAUAUUUUACAAGGAGCAUAGUUGAAGAAUAUCUUGAUGAAAGUAUAUUGAUUGAUUUUUGGUAUUUAACACCACUUUCAGCAUGAUCUUCUAUAUCUUGCCUGCUGGUUUUUAUUUGUGGAGACAGCCAGAGUGCCUAGUGAAAACAUCACCUUCAUCAGAGAAAGUGACAACUAUGGACAAUUAAGAUUGAAGUUAAACACACCUACAAUGUGAGGGUUCAGAGUGUUGACAGACUAGUGAUACAGUAGUUGAACUACUUUGACCAUUCAGCCACCAUUACUCCAUCAGCACUAAAUAUGUUUUUGAAAUGUGUUGGAUUUUUGUAAUUUAAUUAUUUUUUUUUUUGAUUACACUAUUUUAUAUGUUUUUUUUGGUUAUAUAUAACAAAGAUUUGGCGAAUAACAGGGUGAAAUUUAGGUCAAAGGGAGGUAAUUUAUUAUACUGUGUUUAACUUCAAAUACUUGAAAUUCCCUCAAUGUUAGAUUUUUCUUUAGUUGGAUACUCAGGUUUAUGCACUUUUCUACAUAUCAGAUGUUUUCUAGACAAUAGAAAUGUAUGGUGGGAAAAAUUAUGUGUCACUUAAAAUGAUUAUGUGAAAAUUUAAAAAAAAGUUUAUUAAUUGAAAGUGCAUCUGAUAUUUUUUAUGUAUGUUACUUUAUUUUCUAAAAACAAAUGGACACAACAUAGAUUGUCAAUAAGAUAAUGAGGAGAACCAUCUUGGCAGCCAGGAUAGCAGCUCCAAGGAAGAUGGUCAAUAAAAUCUUCAACCAAAGUCUGAGCUUUACCAUGAAAA
Molecule: long non-coding RNA, 1345 nt
Organism: Mytilus californianus (California mussel)
Lineage: Eukaryota; Metazoa; Mollusca; Bivalvia; Mytilida; Mytilidae
Exons: 3
Source: RefSeq, a predicted model, not a curated record